RNAcentral lists this ribosomal RNA (271 nucleotides) under uncultured bacterium. RNAcentral's name for it is "partial 16S ribosomal RNA". It matches the Rfam family "Bacterial small subunit ribosomal RNA", at positions 524 to 794 of the family's 1533-position model. The record is from RNAcentral.
UACGUAGGGUGCAAGCGUUAAUCGGAAUUACUGGGCGUAAAGCGUGCGCAGGCGGUCUUGUAAGACAGGUGUGAAAUCCCCGGGCUUAACCUGGGAACUGCACUUGUGACUGCAAGGCUGGAGUACGGCAGAGGGGGAUGGAAUUCCGCGUGUAGCAGUGAAAUGCGUAGAUAUGCGGAGGAACACCGAUGGCGAAGGCAAUCCCCUGGGCCUGUACUGACGCUCAUGCACGAAAGCGUGGGGAGCAAACAGGAUUAGAAACCCUAGUAGU